GACGAGGGAUCCUAGCGUUGUUCGGAAUUAUUGGGCGUAAAGCGGGUGUAGGCGGACUUAUAAGUCAGGUGUGAAAUCCCAGGGCUCAACCCUGGAAGUGCACUUGAUACUGUAAGUCUUGAAUGUGGUAGAGGUUACUGGAAUUCCUGGUGUAGUGGUGAAAUACGUAGAUAUCAGGAGGAACACCGGAGGCGAAGGCGGGUAACUGGGCCAACAUUGACGCUGAGACCCGAAAGCGUGGGGAUCAAACAGG
RNAcentral lists this ribosomal RNA (253 nucleotides) under uncultured bacterium. RNAcentral describes it as "partial 16S ribosomal RNA". It matches the Rfam family "Bacterial small subunit ribosomal RNA", at positions 524 to 776 of the family's 1533-position model. The record is from RNAcentral.